RNAcentral lists this ribosomal RNA (465 nucleotides) under Vreelandella stevensii. RNAcentral describes it as "partial 16S ribosomal RNA". It matches the Rfam family "Bacterial small subunit ribosomal RNA", at positions 338 to 795 of the family's 1533-position model. The record is from RNAcentral. Lineage: Bacteria; Pseudomonadati; Pseudomonadota; Gammaproteobacteria; Oceanospirillales; Halomonadaceae.
CCUACGGGAGGCUGCAGUGGGGAAUAUUGGACAAUGGGCGAAAGCCUGAUCCAGCCAUGCCGCGUGUGUGAAGAAGGCCUUCGGGUUGUAAAGCACCUUCAGUGGGGAAGAAAGCCUUGGGGCUAAUACCCUCGAGGAAGGACAUCACCCACAGAAGAAGCACCGGCUAACUCCGUGCCAGCAGCCGCGGUAAUACGGAGGGUGCGAGCGUUAAUCGGAAUUACUGGGCGUAAAGCGCGCGUAGGCGGUCUGAUAAGCCGGUUGUGAAAGCCCCGGGCUCAACCUGGGAACGGCAUCCGGAACUGUCAGGCUAGAGUGCAGGAGAGGAAGGUAGAAUUCCCGGUGUAGCGGUGAAAUGCGUAGAGAUCGGGAGGAAUACCAGUGGCGAAGGCGGUCUUCUGGACUGACACUGACGCUGAGGUGCGAAAGCGUGGGUAGCAAACAGGAUUAGAUACCCGGGUAGUC